AACGGAGGGGGCAAGUGUUACUCAUGAUGACUGGGCGUAAAGGGUACGUAGACUGUUUUUUAAGUUAAAAGUAAGAGAUUAAUUAAAAAGAUUAAAAUAUUUUUAAAACUGAAUUACUAGAGUUCGAUAGAGGAAAAUGGUAUUCUUAUUGUAGGGGUGAAAUUCUGAGAUAAUAAGAGGACAAUCGAAGGCGAAGGCAAUUUUCUGGUUCGUAACUGACGUUGAGGUACGAAAGCAUGGGGAGCAAAUAGGAUUAGAUACCCGGUAGU
This 269-nucleotide ribosomal RNA is filed under the name uncultured bacterium. RNAcentral's name for it is "partial 16S ribosomal RNA". It matches the Rfam family "Bacterial small subunit ribosomal RNA", at positions 524 to 794 of the family's 1533-position model. The record is from RNAcentral.